UACGAAGGGGGCUAGCGUUGCUCGGAAUCACUGGGCGUAAAGGGUGCGUAGGCGGGUCUUUAAGUCAGGGGUGAAAUCCUGGAGCUCAACUCCAGAACUGCCUUUGAUACUGAGGAUCUUGAGUUCGGGAGAGGUGAGUGGAACUGCGAGUGUAGAGGUGAAAUUCGUAGAUAUUCGCAAGAACACCAGUGGCGAAGGCGGCUCACUGGCCCGGAACUGACGCUGAGGCACGAAAGCGUGGGGAGCAAACAGG
RNAcentral lists this ribosomal RNA (253 nucleotides) under uncultured bacterium. Its description in RNAcentral is "partial 16S ribosomal RNA". It matches the Rfam family "Bacterial small subunit ribosomal RNA", at positions 524 to 776 of the family's 1533-position model. The record is from RNAcentral.